This 74-nucleotide transfer RNA is filed under the name Pseudomonas phage UAVern. RNAcentral describes it as "tRNA-Thr". It matches the Rfam family "tRNA". Rfam says of the family: Transfer RNA (tRNA) molecules are approximately 80 nucleotides in length. Their secondary structure includes four short double-helical elements and three loops (D, anti-codon, and T loops). Further hydrogen bonds mediate the characteristic L-shaped molecular structure. tRNAs have two regions of fundamental functional importance: the anti-codon, which is responsible for specific mRNA codon recognition, and the 3' end, to which the tRNAs corresponding amino acid is attached (by aminoacyl-tRNA synthetases). tRNAs cope with the degeneracy of the genetic code in two manners: having more than one tRNA (with a specific anti-codon) for a particular amino acid; and 'wobble' base-pairing, i.e. permitting non-standard base-pairing at the 3rd anti-codon position. Lineage: Duplodnaviria; Heunggongvirae; Uroviricota; Caudoviricetes; Vandenendeviridae. The record is from RNAcentral.
GCCCUUUUAGUAUAUUGGUAUUACAUGGCCUUUGUAACGCUGAGAAUGCGGUUCGAUUCCGUGAUGGGGCACCA